RNAcentral lists this unclassified non-coding RNA (162 nucleotides) under soil metagenome. Its description in RNAcentral is "partial internal transcribed spacer 1". The record is from RNAcentral.
CAGAGUUGCAAAACUCCCUAAACCAUUGUGAACGUUACCUAAACCGUUGCUUCGGCGGGCGGCCCCCGGGCGCCCCUGGGCCCCCAUCGCGGGCGCCCCGCCGGAGGUCACAAACUCUUGAUAAUUUAUGGCCUCUCUGAGUCUUCUGUACUGAAUAAGUCA